UUUUUUUUUUUUUUAUUUUUUUUAUUUAAAUUUUAACGUUUGAUUUGGAAAUGCCGGCUCGCCGGUCGAGGCCGGAGGAGCAAGAUGAGGCAAAGCAUCUCCGGCGUGACCCUUACGAGGUCCUUGGCGUCUCCAGGAACUCCUCCGACCAGGAAAUCAAGAGCGCGUACCGCAAAAUGGCUCUCAAAUACCAUCCUGACAAAAAUGCAAAUGAUCCUGAAGCAGCUGAUAUGUUUAAAGAGGUUACUUUUUCCUAUAAUAUCUUGUCUGAUCCAGACAAGCGGCG
RNAcentral lists this unclassified non-coding RNA (286 nucleotides) under Hevea brasiliensis (rubber tree). Lineage: Eukaryota; Viridiplantae; Streptophyta; Magnoliopsida; Malpighiales; Euphorbiaceae. The record is from RNAcentral.